This 549-nucleotide ribosomal RNA is filed under the name uncultured Glomeromycotina. Its description in RNAcentral is "SSU rRNA". It matches the Rfam family "Eukaryotic small subunit ribosomal RNA", at positions 548 to 1098 of the family's 1831-position model. Lineage: Eukaryota; Fungi; Glomeromycota. The record is from RNAcentral.
UUGGAGGGCAAGUCUGGUGCCAGCAGCCGCGGUAAUUCCAGCUCCAAUAGCGUAUAUUAAAGUUGUUGCAGUUAAAAAGCUCGUAGUUGAAUUUCGGGAUCAAUACGUCGGUCGUGCCUCUGGUAUGAACUGGUGUUAUUGAUUCCUCCUUUCUGAUAAACCAUGAUGUCAUUAAUUUGGUGUUGUGGGGAGUCAGGACUGUUACUUUGAAAAAAUUAGAGUGUUUAAAGCAGGCCUACGCUUGAAUACAUUAGCAUGGAAUAAUGAAAUAGGACGUUCGAACCUAUUUUGUUGGUUUCUAGGAUCAACGUAAUGAUUAAUAGGGAUAGUUGGGGGCAUUAGUAUUCAAUUGUCAGAGGUGAAAUUCUUGGAUUUAUUGAAGACUAACUACUGCGAAAGCAUUUGCCAAGGAUGUUUUCAUUAAUCAAGAACGAAAGUUAGGGGAUCGAAGACGAUCAGAUACCGUCGUAGUCUUAACCAUAAACUAUGCCGACUAGGGAUCGGAUGAUGUUAAUUUUUUAAUGACUCAUUCGGCGCCUUACGGGAAAC